Molecule: non-coding RNA, 24 nt
Filed under: Arabidopsis thaliana (thale cress)
Lineage: Eukaryota; Viridiplantae; Streptophyta; Magnoliopsida; Brassicales; Brassicaceae
Source: RNAcentral
CCGUCCGCAACCGCAAACGCUUGC